Molecule: long non-coding RNA, 651 nt
Filed under: Marmota monax (woodchuck)
Lineage: Eukaryota; Metazoa; Chordata; Mammalia; Rodentia; Sciuridae
Source: RNAcentral
AGUAUCUUAAGGCAGCUCAGGCAGUGUGUUCACAUAUUUUCUUCCACAUGACUCCUGCGGUCAUAAUGAACAAAGAUGUUUGACAAUGCUGGAAAUGAUAAAGAAUCUAGUAAAAGUUAUGCAGUCAGAGUCUCACACAUCCAAAGACCCAAUUACAGAAUUUGUUGAAUGCCUGUAUGUUAAUUUUGACUUUGAUAGGGCUCAGAAGAUGCUGAGGGGAUGUGCAUUGGAUGACUUGAUGGCUUGCCAUGAGAAUUUCAUUGAAAAUGCCCCAUCUCUUCCAUAUUUGAGACUUUUGGUUAUAUCCACCAAUGUACCAGUAUUAAUAUGUUGGUAGAUUAAACUGAACAUGAAUGACUCCAGAAGAGACUGAGAAGUGGAUUGUGAAUUUGAUUAGAAAUGAAAGACUGGAUCCAAGAUUUAUUCUAAAUGAGGUUGUGUGAUUAUGAGUAACAGUGCAGUCUCACUUUAUCGGCAAGUAAUUGAAAAGACCCAAAGCCUUUCUUUUAGAAGCCAUAUGUUGGUCAUGAAUAUUGAAAAGAAACUUAUUCAGAAUAGUAGGUCAGAGGCUCCUAACUGGACAACCCUAGAUUCUGGGUCUACUAAAAAACAGUAAAGAAUAGAUGAAAAAAAGAAAGAUGAAAUAAUAAA